RNAcentral lists this non-coding RNA (248 nucleotides) under Natranaerobius thermophilus. Its description in RNAcentral is "T-box sequence". It matches the Rfam family "T-box leader". Rfam says of the family: Uncharged tRNA acts as the effector for transcription antitermination of genes in the T-box leader family. T-boxes are found upstream of many aminoacyl-tRNA synthetase genes and some amino acid biosynthetic genes usually in Gram-positive bacteria. Lineage: Bacteria; Bacillati; Bacillota; Clostridia; Natranaerobiales; Natranaerobiaceae. The record is from RNAcentral.
GAAACAUCUCGGAACGGGAGGAGUAGGCGGUUCAGAUCUUGAAAGAGAGGAGUGCCAUGGCUGAAAGCACUCUAAGAUCUUUCCGUUGAAUGUCGCCCGGGAGAUGGUGGCCUGAACAUUUAUCCAUGAAUAAUGAUAGUAGGGCCAUCCGGCUGUAGCCGUUAUUUUUAUGAGGGUCCCCAGCUACGGAAAUUAGGUGUAGGGGGAAAAAAGGUGGUACCGCGGAAUAAAGCCCUUCCGUCCUUUUA